Long non-coding RNA from Mastomys coucha (southern multimammate mouse), 329 nucleotides. RefSeq lists it as uncharacterized. NCBI's taxonomy places the organism in Eukaryota, Metazoa, Chordata, Mammalia, Rodentia, Muridae. The transcript has 3 exons. The record is from RefSeq and is a predicted model, not a curated record.
CUCAUCAGUUUCACCUCUCUGUAAUUCAGAGAUCUCUCUCACACCUGGCUCCCCUGGAUGAUUGCGAUUUCUUAAAAGAAGCCUAAACGGAUGGGUUUGGAAGUGCACUGGACUGAAGAGCAGCGGUGCCAGCAACUUUAUCUGGAGUCACACAACUGACAAGGGGCAGAAGAAGACUCAGAAGCAGAUCUGCCUGGCUCCUCCCAGUGUGCCCCUCUGUCCCUUGAAAGAGGCUCUGUGUCAUCUGCCAGGUGUCCUUGUCACCACAGAAUCAGAAAAGAAGAACAAUUAAAGAAAAGGAGAGCAGAGGCCAUGAGCUUGAAAAAGAU